GGGGACAAAUUAAUAAAAAUAAUAAUAAUAAAAAAAAUUUUAAAAUUAAAAAUAUUUAAUGGGGGUUAAAGUAUUUUUAAAAGAAAAAAUUUUUUUAUUUAUAGUUAAUUAGUAUUGUAAAAGAAUUAUGAAAUAAUUUGAAAAAAAAUUAAAAAAAAAGUAAAUUUAAUUUAUUGUAUCUUGUGUAUCAGAGUUUAUUAAAAAUUUUCAAUUUUUUUUUGGGGUCUCGAAUUUAAAAGAGUUAAUUAAUUAAUAAAGUUAUUGUAGAAUAAAUAUUUUAAAUAAUUAAUUAGAAAUGAAAUGUUAAUCGUUUUUAAAAAUAUCUAGUUUUUUUAGAAAAAAAUUUAAUUUUUAAUCUAAAUAAAAAUUAAAAUAAAUAUUUAUUUUAAUUUUUAUUUAGAUUAAAUAAUUUAGGGGAUAAGCUUUAAAUUAAAAUUUUAUAAUUAUUAUUUUUUUUUUAAUUUAAAAAUUUUAUAAUUUAUAUUGUUAAUAAAUUUUAUUUUAUUAUAAAUAAUUUAAAAUAAUUAAAAAUUUAAUUUAAUUUAAUUUUUUAUAAAAAUAUUUAUAAAAACUUUUAAUGUGAAGAAAUUAUGAUAAAAUUAGUAAAUAAAUUUGAAUAAUUUAAAGUAAAAUUUUUAAAAAAUAUUUUUCAGGAAUUCGGCAAAUAUUUAUAUUCACUUGUUUAUCAAAAACAUGUCUUUUUGAAAAUAAUUUAAAGUCUAAUCUGCCCACUGAUAAAUAUUAAAGGGCUGCAGUAUAUUGACUGUACAAAGGUAGCAUAAUCAUUAGUCUCUUAAUUGGUGACUUGUAUGAAAGAUUGGAUGAGAUAUAAACUGUCUAAAAAAUAAUUUAUUGAAUUUAAUUUUUUAAUUAAAAAGUUAAAAUAUAUUAAAAAGACGAGAAGACCCUAUAGAGUUUUAUAUUAAUUUAAAUUUUAAUUAUAUAUAAAUAAUAAUAAUAAUAAAUUUAAAUUAAUAUUUUAUUGGGGUGAUAAAAAAAUAAAAAAAACUUUUUUUUAAAAUAAUCAUAGAUAAAUGAAUUUUUGAUCCAGUUAUAUUGAUUAAAAGAAAAAAUUACCUUAGGGAUAACAGCGUAAUUUUUUUUUUUAGUUCAUAUAAAAAAAAAAGUUUGCGACCUCGAUGUUGGAUUAAGAUAAAAUUUAAAUGCAAAAGUUUAAAAUUUUUGAUCUGUUCGAUCAUUAAAAUCUUACAUGAUCUGAGUUCAAACCGGUGUAAGCCAGGUUGGUUUCUAUCUUUUAAAUUUUUUUAUAUUUUAGUACGAAAGGAUUGAAUAUUAUAAUUAAAUUAAUUUAUUAUGAAUUUUAUUAAAAAUAUAAUUUAAAUAUAAAAUAAUAUGUGAUAUAUAUAUAUAUAUAUAUAUAUAUAUAUAUAUAUAUUAGUUAAUAAC
Molecule: ribosomal RNA, 1407 nt
Filed under: Saturnia japonica
Lineage: Eukaryota; Metazoa; Arthropoda; Insecta; Lepidoptera; Saturniidae
Description: 16S ribosomal RNA
Rfam family: Eukaryotic large subunit ribosomal RNA (bases 1084-1243)
Source: RNAcentral